This 917-nucleotide long non-coding RNA is filed under the name Dasypus novemcinctus (nine-banded armadillo). Its description in RNAcentral is "lncRNA (ENSDNOG00000052220.1)". Lineage: Eukaryota; Metazoa; Chordata; Mammalia; Cingulata; Dasypodidae. The record is from RNAcentral.
CACUCCUGACCGCUAGAGCUGGAUGAUGCGAAGAGACCGUGCCCGGGCGUCAAGACCCGCCCGCUGUGCUCUGCCCCGCCGCGGCGUUUCGCGAACUUGCAGCACGUGAGGCCACCGCUGCCCCUUUCCAGACCGGCCGCGCGCUGCGCGUAGGCGCCCAGCGCGCUGGGUUUCGCGUUCCACCCUUAGCCCAACCGCCGCCCAGCGCCCGCUCCCCCGGGGCCCCUUCGAGUUCCGCCGCCAACUUCCCGCCCCCGGGCCCCUGGCUCCUCCUCCCUGCCCGCCUCCAGCCUUCUGGCUCCUCCUUCCUACCUGGCUCUUGGCUCCUCCCCGCUACGCAGGCCCGGCCUCCGGCCUCCUUCGCUCCCCGCCUGGGCCUCUUGGUUCCUCCUCCCUGUCCUGCCUCCAGCCGUUAGGCUUCUCCUCCGCGUCCCGCUCCACCCUUGGCUUCCUGGCUCCUCCUUCUAGGUCCCUCCCGGCCUCAGGCUCCUCCUCUCCCGCUCGCCCGGGCCUGCGCUCCGCUGAAAGGUCUGAGGGCGCCAGCGAGCGAGGGGACUCUUCACCACCAGACCGCCCAGCAAGCCUCCCGGUGUCCCGGCGCCACCGCGCCCCCUCCUCCGAGUGACGAAACCCAGCUCCCAGAAUAACGAGCAAGACAACUUUUAAAGUGACUGUUGUUGACCAGUGUCUUUUGUGCAGUUGUUUGGUAAGCUUGUGGUGGAUUUUUACAACAAGACAGUAUAAAUUAGUUUAAAUUAUUCUCAGGGAAGAAUGAUUCUUCCAGAAGGAGAUACAAAUGUCAGAGAAAAAAUAACAGUGGGGUGGCUGUGUCUGUUCCUCAAAUCUGUGUGUCUCUCCCAAGAUGCUGUGAAGUUGUCCACCUGAUUGAGUACAGGAGGAAAAUGCUGAAACUCGGU